AUGAUGUGGUUUAAUUCGAUGCAACGCGAAAACCUUACCACCUUGACAUGGCAGGAAUCCUAAGAGAUUUGGAGUGCUCGAAAGAGAACCUGCACACAGGUGCUGCAUGGCUGUCGUCAGCUCGUGUCGUGAGAUGUUGGGUUAAGUCCCGCAACGAGCGCAACCCUUGCCAUUAGUUGCUACGAAAGGGCACUCUAAUGGGACUGCCGGUGACAAACCGGAGGAAGGUGGGGAUGACGUCAAGUCCUCAUGGCCCUUAUAGGUGGGGCUACACACGUCAUACAAUGGCCGGUACAGAGGGUAGCCAACCCGCGAGGGGGAGCCAAUCCCACAAAGCCGGUCGUAGUCCGGAUCGCAGUCUGCAACUCGACUGCGUGAAGUCGGAAUCGCUAGUAAUCGCGGAUCAGCAUGUCGCGGUGAAUACGUUCCCGGGUCUU
Molecule: ribosomal RNA, 437 nt
Filed under: uncultured Allobrachymonas sp.
Lineage: Bacteria; Pseudomonadati; Pseudomonadota; Betaproteobacteria; Burkholderiales; Comamonadaceae
Description: bacterial SSU rRNA
Rfam family: Bacterial small subunit ribosomal RNA
Source: RNAcentral